Molecule: long non-coding RNA, 671 nt
Filed under: Homo sapiens (human)
Lineage: Eukaryota; Metazoa; Chordata; Mammalia; Primates; Hominidae
Description: HSALNT0239316
Source: RNAcentral
GGGACAGACAAGCUUUCUACUGGAAACUGGCUCCAGAAGAAAUGUUAAGAUUACCUAGAAGUAGUCAACUGGUGAUGAAGGAGGAGGAGAAUAAUGCUACAUUAGUAUAGGUAAGACACAGAGUUCCAGCAAAGCAGUGGGGGAAAAUGGUUUCGAAAGACAUUGCCAAGAUGUGCAGUACUGAGAUAAUGAACGGGUUACUAUCUGGGGCAAAAGCUGAAAGGAUACAGAAAGAUGAAAAUCAUGAGGAAGAGUUGAACACAAAACCGAGAGACAGUCAAAGAGCAUAGCCAGUUCCAGCACCACAGCCAUCUAGUUCUCUAUAUCUGGACAAGGUCUCAUUCUGUCACCUAGGCUGGAAAUGCACUGGUGCAAUCACAGUUCACUGCAUCCUCAAGCAAUCCUCCCACCUCAGCCUCCCAGGUAGCUGGGACCACAGGUGCGUACCAUCACACCUGGUUAAUAUUUUAUUAUUUGUAGAGAUGGAGUCCUGCUAUGUUGCCCAGGGUGGUCUCAAACUCCUGGGCUCAAGCAAUCCUCCUGCCUUGGCCUCCCAAAAUGCUGGGAUUACAGGCAUGAGCCACUGUGCCCAAUCUAUCUAUCUUAUCUAUCUUAUCUUAUCUUAUCUUAUCUAUCUAUCUAUCUACCUACCUACCUACCUACCUACCUAC